GCCGCUGUGGUGGAAUAGGCAGACACAAGGGACUUAAAAUCCCUCGGUCGAAUAGACCGUACCGGUUCAAGUCCGGUCAGCGGCACCA
Molecule: transfer RNA, 88 nt
Filed under: Clostridiales bacterium
Lineage: Bacteria; Bacillati; Bacillota; Clostridia; Eubacteriales
Description: tRNA-Leu
Rfam family: tRNA
About the family: Transfer RNA (tRNA) molecules are approximately 80 nucleotides in length.
Source: RNAcentral